Molecule: ribosomal RNA, 494 nt
Filed under: uncultured bacterium
Lineage: Bacteria
Description: partial 16S ribosomal RNA
Rfam family: Bacterial small subunit ribosomal RNA
Source: RNAcentral
GACGAACGCUGGCGGCGCGCUUAACACAUGCAAGUCGAACGGAAAGGCCUGCUUUCCCUUGUGGAUUGCGGGUACUCGAGUGGCGAACGGGUGAGUAACACGUGAGUGAUCUGCCCCCAACUUGGGUAUAAGCCUGGGAAACUGGGUCUAAUUCCCGAUAGGACUGCAGGGUGGUGCCUGUGGUGGAAAACGAUUUUCUAGUGGUUGGGGAUGAGCUCGCGGCCUAUCAGCUUGUUGGUGGGGUAAUGGCCUACCAAGGCGGCGACGGGUAGCCGGCCUGAGAGGGUGGACGGCCACAUUGGGACUGGGAUACGGCCCAGACUCCUACGGGAGGCAGCAGUGGGGAAUAUUGCCCAAUGGGCGGAAGCCUGAUGCAGCGACGCCGCGUGGGGGAUGACGGCCUUCGGGUUGUAAACUCCUUUCGACCGCGAGGAAGCCACCUGGUUGGAAGGGUGGUGACGGUAGUGGUAGAAGAAGCACCGGCUAACUACGUG